RNAcentral lists this ribosomal RNA (265 nucleotides) under uncultured archaeon. RNAcentral describes it as "partial 16S ribosomal RNA". It matches the Rfam family "Archaeal small subunit ribosomal RNA", at positions 719 to 982 of the family's 1478-position model. The record is from RNAcentral.
ACACGACUACAUUAGAUACCCGUGUAGUCCAGGGUGUAAACGCUGCGGGCUUUGGUGUUGGGGGUCCUUAGUGGGCGCCCAGUGCCGGAGAGAAGUUGUUAAGCCUGCCGCCUGGGAAGUACGGUCGCAAGGCUGAAACUUAAAGGAAUUGGCGGGGAGCACCACAACGGGUGGAGCCUGCGGUUUAAUUGGACUCAACGCCGGAAAUCUCACCGGAUAGGACAGACAUAUGAUAGUCGGGCUGAAGACUCUACUUGAUGAUCUG